UAGUACGGCGAGUAAGCGGAAAGAGCUCAAGCUUAAAAUCUCCGUGCAAGUUUUGUGCGGCGAAUUGUAGUCUAUAGAAGCGUGGUCAGCAUGGGCACUUGGGGCAAGUUCCUUGGAAGAGGACAGCAUGGAGGGUGAUACUCCCGUUCAUUUCUGAGUUGCUCGUGCGUACGACCCGUUUUCUUUGAGUCGCGUUGUUUGGGAAUGCAGCGCAAAGUAGGUGGUAAAUUCCAUCUAAAGCUAAAUAUUGGUGCGAGACCGAUAGCGAACAAGUACCGUGAGGGAAAGAUGAAAAGAACUUUGAAAAGAGAGUUAAAGAGUACCUGAAACUGCUGAAAGGGAACCGAAUCGUUUCCAGUGUCUAUAAUCCGUGGUAUAUUUCAUUGGCGAGUGUGUGCGUGCGUGUGCUGUGGCAGCGGCUUUUUUGGCUGCGCUCGGCGUGUGUGCUGUGUGUGCUUGCUGGUGCUCUGUGCUGCGGUGGGACGUCAAGGUCAGUUCGUAUGCUGCGGGAAAUGGCUGCCGAGGAGGUAGGGCUUACGCUUGCGUUUGUCUGUUAUAUCUUGGUGGACGAGUAGUCGCGGUUGGGACUGAGGUGCCUACAACGUGCUUUUGAGUGGGUUUGUGUCUCCGUGUGCGCCGUGUGCGGAUAGCUUGCUAUGCGUGUGUGGUUGUGUGUGGAU
The sequence is a ribosomal RNA, 680 nucleotides long. It matches the Rfam family "Eukaryotic large subunit ribosomal RNA", at positions 81 to 601 of the family's 3401-position model.